Molecule: ribosomal RNA, 505 nt
Filed under: uncultured bacterium
Lineage: Bacteria
Description: partial 16S ribosomal RNA
Rfam family: Bacterial small subunit ribosomal RNA
Source: RNAcentral
GACGAACGCUGGCGGCGUGCCUAAUACAUGCAAGUAGAACGCACAGUUUAUACCGUAGCUUGCUACACCAUAGACUGUGAGUUGCGAACGGGUGAGUAACGCGUAGGUAACCUGCCUGGUAGCGGGGGAUAACUAUUGGAAACGAUAGCUAAUACCGCAUAAUAUUGAUUAUUGCAUGAUAAUUGAUUGAAAGAUGCUAUUGCAUCACUACCAGAUGGACCUGCGUUGUAUUAGCUAGUAGGUGAGGUAACGGCUCACCUAGGCGACGAUACAUAGCCGACCUGAGAGGGUGAUCGGCCACACUGGGGCUGAGACACGGCCCAGACUCCUACGGGAGGCAGCAGUAGGGAAUCUUCGGCAAUAGACGAAAGUCUGACCGAGCAACGCCGCGUGAGUGAAGAAGGUUUUCGGAUCGUAAAGCUCUGUUGUAAGAGAAGAACGGGUGUGAGAGUGGAAAGUUCACACUGUGACGGUAUCUUACCAGAAAGGGACGGCUAACUACGUG